AGAGGCCUGGCGUUCAGGAAAGGGCCCGCUGACCAUCCAGUGCAGGGAAAGGAGUCCAGCUCUGGCCUCUGCCCCUCAGCUCCACCUCCUGCAUUCCUAGGAGUUCUCCAGAGGAUCUGAUGGGAGCUCAGAACCGGUCCCAACAGCUCCCUCCACCCUUCAUGAACGGGGGCUGGAAAAUGUGGUCUGCUCUGAUAAGGAUUUGCGUCAGGCUACUGGCUACUCAGCAGCCGAGAAGAGCAAGCCUCCAGGCCUCUGCACGCGUGCCUUCUGCCCGGUGAGCCUCUCACUAUCGUCCUUCUAAAAGACACUUCAAAAAGAGGCAAAAUCAUG
RNAcentral lists this long non-coding RNA (333 nucleotides) under Homo sapiens (human). RNAcentral describes it as "non-protein coding lnc-BLM-6:12". The record is from RNAcentral. Lineage: Eukaryota; Metazoa; Chordata; Mammalia; Primates; Hominidae.